This is a long non-coding RNA of Photinus pyralis (common eastern firefly), 561 nucleotides long. RefSeq lists it as uncharacterized. The transcript has 3 exons. NCBI's taxonomy places the organism in Eukaryota, Metazoa, Arthropoda, Insecta, Coleoptera, Lampyridae. The record is from RefSeq and is a predicted model, not a curated record.
GAUGAGUGUGAUGACUUCUUUACUCCGGCCACUCCCACUUUCAAAUCUGGAUCAACUAAACGAUCUUGAAAAAAAAUUAGGUGACAAAGAUUUACAAUCCGUAUUUGUAAAACACUUAACACGUAUUGGAGGAGUAGAUGGAAAUAAAAAUAGCAACAGAAUUACAUAUAUGGUCGUAGAUGCCAUAUUUGAGAGACAAUUUUUAGUUAGUUGCUCCUGGACUGGGUCAACCAAAACAAAAAAUGAUAAGAAAAUCGCAUUUAUGGAAUACAAAAAUGUAAUUCAAUCAUUUUAUAAUAUAAUUCACUUGGCAGAUUCCAGGUACACAAUGGAUGACAAUAACAGUUUUUUUAAACGCAUUUUAAAGAAUAGUGCCAGUAGAGCUGGCAAACAGACAAAAGCAAAUGCAAAGAAAACUAAUGCUAAUUCCGAAGAGAUUUUGGUUGAUGUUGCUCUUUAAUUGUUAUUACAAUUUUUUUAUAAUACUUAUUUGAUAGUUACAUUAUCUUUUAACUUAUUUCGAAACUAUGUAGUAGUGGAAUAAAAACUCUUUCAUUAUGA